AGUUCAUGAUGAUUAAACUUUACACCAUCUUUCGACUGUUGUAUUAUUGAUGAAUUAUAAGUUUUACUCUGACUAUU
Molecule: non-coding RNA, 77 nt
Organism: Glossina fuscipes fuscipes
Lineage: Eukaryota; Metazoa; Arthropoda; Insecta; Diptera; Glossinidae
Source: Rfam